Molecule: ribosomal RNA, 494 nt
Filed under: uncultured bacterium
Lineage: Bacteria
Description: partial 16S ribosomal RNA
Rfam family: Bacterial small subunit ribosomal RNA
Source: RNAcentral
GACGAACGCUGGCGGCGUGCUUAACACAUGCAAGUCGAACGGUGAAGCGCCUUCCUUUUUGGUGGGUGUGGAUGAGUGGCGAACGGGUGAGUAACACGUGAGUAACCUGCCCCCUUCUUCUGGAUAACCGCAUGAAAGUGUGGCUAAUACGGGAUAUUCUGGGUCUGUCGCAUGAUGGGUCUGGGAAAGAUAUUGUUUCGGUGGGGGAUGGUCUCGCGGCCUAUCAGCUUGUUGGUGGGGUGAUGGCCUACCAAGGCGGUGACGGGUAGCCGGCCUGAGAGGGUGGACGGUCACACUGGGACUGAGACACGGCCCAGACUCCUACGGGAGGCAGCAGUGGGGAAUAUUGCACAAUGGGCGCAAGCCUGAUGCAGCGACGCCGCGUGAGGGAUGGAGGCCUGCGGGUUGUGAACCUCUUUCGCCAGUGAAGCAGGCCUGCCUCGUUUGUGGGUGGGUUGACGGUAGCUGGAGAAGAAGCGCCGGCUAACUACGUG